GAAUUAAGAGUCAUCACCAGCCAGAGGCAACUGUGUCUCAAACUGUUCGAAACUAUGUUUCAAACUGUCUCAAGAAAGAGGCUUUUACCCCAUUUUCCUUUCAUCUUUGUCAGUCUCUUAUCGGGACGAGCACUGAAUAGAAAAGACUUUCUCGAAGUUGACAGUGCGGUGAAUGUUUGUGGAGAACUAACGGACGCUGACAUUAUUGCUGAGGUGGCCAACGAGGAACAAAAGGAAGAUGAGAGUGGAGAUGAGGAAGAAGACGACAUGCAAGUGAUACACAUCCUGCCUCCCGUCGAAAAGAAGCGAGGCGCAGGCUAUUGAAACCCUGCACAGAUUUUUGGAAUGUACGCCGAAUGUCGAGGACAAUAUGUGUUUCGGUCCAUUGACGAGAUUGAGGAGAUUUUGGAGCGAGAUGCGUCGGCACAUCGACGCCAAACGAAGUUAACAGACUUUUUUCUCUAAAGGCUGUGUCUGGUGGUGGAUUGCGGCACUGAGUGUACUCGUUGAAAUAUUGGUCUUUACAGCCGCACAAGUUAAUGUUCCAUCUGCGCUUGAGAGGAACGUUGCUCUAAACAAACCGUGCAAUCAAAGUUCAGAUUAUGAC
This is a long non-coding RNA of Pomacea canaliculata, 607 nucleotides long. RefSeq lists it as uncharacterized. The transcript has 3 exons. The record is from RefSeq and is a predicted model, not a curated record. Lineage: Eukaryota; Metazoa; Mollusca; Gastropoda; Architaenioglossa; Ampullariidae.